RNAcentral lists this ribosomal RNA (460 nucleotides) under uncultured bacterium. RNAcentral describes it as "partial 16S ribosomal RNA". It matches the Rfam family "Bacterial small subunit ribosomal RNA", at positions 338 to 795 of the family's 1533-position model. The record is from RNAcentral.
CCUACGGGGGGCAGCAGUGAGGAAUAUUGGUCAAUGGACGAGAGUCUGAACCAGCCAAGUCGCGUGAAGGAUGACUGCCCUAUGGGUUGUAAACUUCUUUUAUAUGGGAAUAAAAUGUUCCACGUGUGGGCUUUUGUAUGUACCAUAUGAAUAAGGAUCGGCUAACUCCGUGCCAGCAGCCGCGGUAAUACGGAGGAUCCGAGCGUUAUCCGGAUUUAUUGGGUUUAAAGGGAGCGUAGGUGGAUUGUUAAGUCAGUUGUGAAAGUUUGCGGCUCAACCGUAAAAUUGCAAUUGAUACUGGCAGUCUUGAGUACAGUUGAGGUAGGCGGAAUUCGUGGUGUAGCGGUGAAAUGCUUAGAUAUCACGAAGAACUCCGAUUGCGAAGGCAGCUUACUAAACUGCCACUGACAUUGAUGCUCGAAAGUGUGGGUAUCAAACAGGAUUAGAUACCCCAGUAGUC